UAUACGUUGCUCACAGGAGCUGUGCUCUCCAGGGUGGGCUGUACCAGCACGCUGCCUGCUUCUCACCUCCCCCACACAGAAGUCAGUUGGAAAAUUUGGGAUUCUGGUGUUCAUGCAGAGUUACGCAAGUCACAGUCAAGCUGUUUAAAUCUCCGUAUGCAGCCCCAGAGGAACAUGACAGUGUUUGGUGCUGAUAAGAUAUGAGUCUGCACUUCUGAGUGCUUGCUCACGAGCAUUCCUACCGUGUCAGAGCAAGUUCUUGCUGAAGAAAAUGCGAAUACCUUACACUCUAUGACAAUGUUGCAAAUCAGAAAUAGUUGCAGUUACCUCACGCUAGUUCCCUCUGAGGCAGAACAAAUCCUAAGGUUCCAGCUGAAUGCUUAUGAAUCACUACCUUGGGGAAAAAAAAAUGAUACCACCUGUCAAAUUUCAUCUAAACUCUCAGAAAAUGGGGAAAAUGUGCUGAAUGAGGCAGUUAGUGAUGGUGUUGUACAGGGAUUAUUACUACAUGACACUGUGAGUUAUGAUAUACUUACUGCGCGUUCCUUUCUAGCAGAGAAACAGAGCAGAAACUGCACAGCUGAUGGAGUGUGAGGAGAAGAAAUCUGAACAUCAUUGUCUAAGUACUUAGUGGCUUUGAAAUAAAACUAGAGAUUAUCGCAAGUGCUGCAGUUGUUCAAAUUCAGCUCCUGCCAAGUUUUCACACCACCGAUGCUUCUAAGAACAGAGAAACCUACCUUAGAAGCUUCUUCCCAAUUUGUAUCUUGCUAUUUUCAGUAUUAAAUUUAGAACAGUGUCUAAAUGAAACAUCUCAUCUUGUUUGUGGUGGCAUUCUUUUAAUGACAUUGUACCUCAUACACUUGACAUAAAGACUCAUACUGAGUGCUGCAGCUCCGUGGCAAGCAAAGCACCAUCCUGUAAAUGAAAGGAUCGCAUUCUCUUUGCAGGUUUUGUUCCUUCUGGCAAGCUAGAAGAUGUAAAAUAUGAACUGGAGAAAAAGGAGAGGAAGGAAGCAUCACACAUCAUCUAGCUAACGUAUUUUAAACACACUGUUCUUUUGGAAUGGUUUUGGUAGAGUCAUGAAUAACAAAACUGUGCCAUCAUCAGUUUCCAGGAAAUCCUCUUUCCAAUAGUUCUCAAGACAUCAGCCUUUUUGUGCUGCUCAAACAGCUUCUCUCCUGAACAAAUCACAAGGAUUUUAUUUUAAUCCAUGCAUAUUGUUUUAAGUGUAUAACUGAUGGGUUAUUAAAACAGGCAAUAGACCAUUAGCUGUGUGAAAAUUAGCGUGGAUUAAACCAAGCUUGUUCAGGUUCCGUCAGGGGUUCAAACAGCAAUGCAAGACACGUGGCCAAAUGCGCUAACUAACUGCUAGAGCCAAGAUGUAUUUGAUUUAUUGGCUUGAUAACCAUAGCUGACUUUGAGAUUGUCUAGGUCCUCUGAGUUUGAAGGGGUUCAAGUGAGGAGACUCUGUUUGAGUCUGUUUGUAUUUUAAAGGCAGAACGUGGCACUGAGGGUCAUGGUUAGCGGGCAUGGUGUUGGUGUGUUGAUGGUUGG
This 1554-nucleotide long non-coding RNA is filed under the name Gallus gallus (chicken). RNAcentral's name for it is "lncRNA (ENSGALG00010014239.1)". Lineage: Eukaryota; Metazoa; Chordata; Aves; Galliformes; Phasianidae. The record is from RNAcentral.